RNAcentral lists this unclassified non-coding RNA (144 nucleotides) under uncultured fungus. RNAcentral's name for it is "sequence contains ITS1, 5.8S rRNA gene". The record is from RNAcentral. Lineage: Eukaryota; Fungi.
CCAGAGAUGGCGGGCCCCCGCGCCCCCGUCCCCAACCCUUUGUUGACCUAACCCAUUUUGCCUCGGGGGCAGAGCGUCCGCCGCCGCCCCCGGAGGACCACCGAACGCUGUCUCUGUACGUCGGAGUAUUGAUUAAAUGAAUGA